RNAcentral lists this ribosomal RNA (484 nucleotides) under uncultured bacterium. Its description in RNAcentral is "partial 16S ribosomal RNA". It matches the Rfam family "Bacterial small subunit ribosomal RNA", at positions 28 to 523 of the family's 1533-position model. The record is from RNAcentral.
GACGAACGCUGGCGGCGUGCUUAACACAUGCAAGUCGAACGAUGAAGCUGGAGCUUGCUCCGGUGGAUUAGUGGCGAACGGGUGAGUAACACGUGAGCAAUCUGCCCUUGACUCUGGGAUAACUGCGGGAAACUGUAGCUAAUACCGGAUACUUUCACUGGAAGGCAUCUUCUGGUGAAGAAAGAAUUUCGGUCAAGGAUGGGCCCGCGGCCUAUCAGCUUGUUGGUGGGGUGAUGGCCUACCAAGGCGACGACGGGUAGCCGGCCUGAGAGGGUGACCGGCCACACUGGGACUGAGAUACGGCCCAGACUCCUACGGGAGGCAGCAGUGGGGAAUAUUGCACAAUGGGCGCAAGCCUGAUGCAGCGACGCCGCGUGAGGGAUGACGGCCUUCGGGUUGUAAACCUCUUUCAGCACCGACGAAGCGCAAGUGACGGUAGGUGCAGAAGAAGGACCGGCCAACUACGUGCCAGCCGCCGCAGUAA